AGAGUUUGAUCCUGGCUCAGGAUGAACGCUGGCGGCGUGCCUAAUACAUGCAAGUCGAGCGAAUUGAUUAAGAGCUUGCUCUUAUGAAGUUAGCGGCGGACGGGUGAGUAACACGUGGGUAACCUGCCCAUAAGACUGGGAUAACUCCGGGAAACCGGGGCUAAUACCGGAUAAUAUUUUGAACUGCAUGGUUCGAAAUUAAAAGGCGGCUUCGGCUGUCACUUAUGGAUGGACCCGCGUCGCAUUAGCUAGUUGGUGAGGUAACGGCUCACCAAGGCAACGAUGCGUAGCCGACCUGAGAGGGUGAUCGGCCACACUGGGACUGAGACACGGCCCAGACUCCUACGGGAGGCAGCAGUAGGGAAUCUUCCGCAAUGGACGAAAGUCUGACGGAGCAACGCCGCGUGAGUGAUGAAGGCUUUCGGGUCGUAAAACUCUGUUGUUAGGGAAGAACAAGUGCUAGUUGAAUAAGCUGGCACCUUGACGGUACCUAACCAGAAAGCCACGGCUAACUACGUGCCAGCAGCCGCGGUAAUACGUAGGUGGCAAGCGUUAUCCGGAAUUAUUGGGCGUAAAGCGCGCGCAGGUGGUUUCUUAAGUCUGAUGUGAAAGCCCACGGCUCAACCGUGGAGGGUCAUUGGAAACUGGGAGACUUGAGUGCAGAAGAGGAAAGUGGAAUUCCAUGUGUAGCGGUGAAAUGCGUAGAGAUAUGGAGGAACACCAGUGGCGAAGGCGACUUUCUGGUCUGUAACUGACACUGAGGCGCGAAAGCGUGGGGAGCAAACAGGAUUAGAUACCCU
RNAcentral lists this ribosomal RNA (800 nucleotides) under uncultured bacterium. Its description in RNAcentral is "bacterial SSU rRNA". It matches the Rfam family "Bacterial small subunit ribosomal RNA", at positions 8 to 788 of the family's 1533-position model. The record is from RNAcentral.